GCUAGGCAUAGUGGUGCAUGACUGUAAUCCCAGUGACUUGGGAGGCUGAGGCAGGAGGAUAGCAAGUUCAAGGUCAGCCUCAGUAAUUUAGUGAGAUUCUGUCUCAA
Molecule: small RNA, 107 nt
Filed under: Marmota monax (woodchuck)
Lineage: Eukaryota; Metazoa; Chordata; Mammalia; Rodentia; Sciuridae
Source: RNAcentral